RNAcentral lists this ribosomal RNA (253 nucleotides) under uncultured bacterium. RNAcentral describes it as "partial 16S ribosomal RNA". It matches the Rfam family "Bacterial small subunit ribosomal RNA", at positions 524 to 776 of the family's 1533-position model. The record is from RNAcentral.
UACGUAGGGUGCGAGCGUUAAUCGGAAUUACUGGGCGUAAAGCGUGCGCAGGCGGUUUUGUAAGCCAGAUGUGAAAGCCCCGGGCUUAACCUGGGAAUGGCAUUUUAGACUGGAUAUCUGGAGUACAGUAGAGGGUGGAGGAAUUUCCGGUGUAGCGGUGAAAUGCGUAGAUAUCGGAAGGAACACCAGUGGCGAAGGCGACCACCUGGACUGAUACUGACACUGAGGCGCGAGAGCGUGGGUAGCAAACAGG